UGUGUGUGUGAGUGAUGCUGUGGGAUUGUCUCCAGUCAGUAGGUGUGAGUGAUGCGUCAGUAGGUGUGAGUGAUGCUGUGGGAUCGUCUCCGGUCAGUAGGUGUGAGUGAUGCUGUGGGAUCGUCUCCGGUCAAGUAGGUGUGAGUGAUGCUGUGGGAUCGGCUCCGGUCAAGUAGGUGUGAGUGAUGCUGUGGGAUCGUCUCCGGUCAAGUAGGUGUGAGUGAUGCUGUGGGAUCGUCUCCGGUCAAGUAGGUGUGAGUGAUGCUGUGGGAUCGUCUCCGGUCAAGUAGGUGUGAGUGAUGCUGUGGGAUCGUCUCCGGUCAAGUAGGUGUGAGUGAUGCUGUGGGAUCGUCUCCGG
Long non-coding RNA from Oncorhynchus tshawytscha (Chinook salmon), 358 nucleotides. The record is from Ensembl. NCBI's taxonomy places the organism in Eukaryota, Metazoa, Chordata, Actinopteri, Salmoniformes, Salmonidae.